This 274-nucleotide ribosomal RNA is filed under the name uncultured bacterium. RNAcentral's name for it is "partial 16S ribosomal RNA". It matches the Rfam family "Bacterial small subunit ribosomal RNA", at positions 523 to 796 of the family's 1533-position model. The record is from RNAcentral.
CUACGGAGGGUGCAAGCGUUAUUCGGAAUCACUGGGCGUAAAGGACGCGUAGGCGGGUUGGCAAGUCAGAUGUGAAAUCUUACAGCUUAACUGUAGAACUGCAUUUGAAACUGCUAACCUAGAGUAUGGGAGGGGGAGAUGGAAUUAGUGGUGUAGGGGUAAAAUCCGUAGAUAUCACUAGGAAUACCGAAAGCGAAGGCGAUCUCCUGGAACAUAACUGACGCUAAGGCGUGAAAGCGUGGGGAGCAAACGGGAUUAGAAACCCUAGUAGUCC